GACAGAGGGUGCAAACGUUGUUCGGAAUUACUGGGCGUAAAGCGCGUGUAGGCUGUCGUGCAAGUCGGAUGUGAAAGCCCGGGGCUCAACCCCGGAAGGGCAUUCGAAACUGCAUGACUAGAGUCCUGGAGAGGGAGGCGGAAUUCUGGGUGUAGAGGUGAAAUUCGUAGAUAUCCAGAGGAACACCGGUGGCGAAGGCGGCCUCCUGGACAGUGACUGACGCUGAGACGCGAAAGCGUGGGGAGCAAACAGG
Molecule: ribosomal RNA, 253 nt
Filed under: uncultured bacterium
Lineage: Bacteria
Description: partial 16S ribosomal RNA
Rfam family: Bacterial small subunit ribosomal RNA
Source: RNAcentral